AAACUCAAAGGAAUUGACGGGGAGCACCACAACAGGUGGAGCCUGCGGUUUAAUCGGACUCAACGCCGGAAAUCUCACCGGAUAAGACAGCUGAAUGAUAGUCGGGCUGAAGACUCUACUUGACUAGCUGAGAGGAGGUGCAUGGCCGUCGUCAGUUCGUACUGUGAAGCAUCCUGUUAAGUCAGGCAACGAGCGAGACCCACGCCAACAGUUGCCAGCUCGUCCUCCGGGAUGGUGGGGACACUGUUGGGACCGCCUCUGCUAAAGCGGAGGAAGGAAUGGGCAACGGUAGGUCAGUAUGCCCCGAAUAUCCCGGGCUACACGCGAGCUACAAUGGUUGGUACAAUGGGUAUCUACCCCGAAAGGGGACGGGAAUCUCCUAAAACCAAUCUUAGUUCGGAUUGAGGGCUGCAACUCGCCCUCAUGAAGCUGGAAUCCGUAGUAAUCGCGUUUCAACAGAACGCGGUGAAUACGUCCCUGCUCCUU
RNAcentral lists this ribosomal RNA (486 nucleotides) under uncultured Methanomicrobiales archaeon. RNAcentral describes it as "bacterial SSU rRNA". It matches the Rfam family "Archaeal small subunit ribosomal RNA", at positions 852 to 1338 of the family's 1478-position model. Lineage: Archaea; Methanobacteriati; Methanobacteriota; Methanomicrobia; Methanomicrobiales. The record is from RNAcentral.